RNAcentral lists this ribosomal RNA (460 nucleotides) under uncultured bacterium. RNAcentral describes it as "partial 16S ribosomal RNA". It matches the Rfam family "Bacterial small subunit ribosomal RNA", at positions 338 to 795 of the family's 1533-position model. The record is from RNAcentral.
CCUACGGGUGGCUGCAGUGAGGAAUAUUGGUCAAUGGGCGAGAGCCUGAACCAGCCAAGUCGCGUGAAGGAUGACGGCCCUACGGGUUGUAAACUUCUUUUGUCAGGGAGCAAAUGAGUCCACGUGUGGGCUUAGCGAGAGUACCUGAAGAAAAAGCAUCGGCUAACUCCGUGCCAGCCGCCGCGGUAAUACGGAGGAUGCGAGCGUUAUCCGGAUUUUUUGGGUUUAAGGGGUGCGUAGGCGGAAUAUCAAGUCAGCGGUAAAACUUCGGGGCUCAACCCCGUCGUGCCGUUGAAACUGAUGUUCUUGAGUGGGCGAGAAGGAUGCGGAAGGCGUGGUGUAGCGGUGAAAUGCAUAGAUAUCACGCAGAACUCCGAUUGCGAAGGCAGCAUACCGGCGCCCAACUGACGCUGAAGCACGAAAGCGUGGGUAUCGAACAGGAUUAGAUACCCUAGUAGUC